Zonotrichia albicollis (white-throated sparrow) is the source of this 612-nucleotide long non-coding RNA. The record is from Ensembl. Lineage: Eukaryota; Metazoa; Chordata; Aves; Passeriformes; Passerellidae.
CCAGAGUGACCACACUGACCACAGCAGUGACCACACUGACCACCAGAGUGACCACAGUGACCACCAGGGAGUCCCAAAUGACCACCUGAGUGACCACACGAGUGACCACUCUGACCACAGUGACCACCACAGUGACCCCCAGAGUGACCCCACUGACCACUGGGAUGACGCCAACGGCCACCACAAUGACCGCCCGAGUGACCACGGUAUCUCCAAUGACCAGCAGAGUAACCAGGAUGCCCAGAGUGCCCACCAGGAUGCCCAGCAGAGUGACCACCAGGAUGACCACCAGGAUGCCCAGCAGAGUGCCCAGCAGGAUGCCCAGCAGAAUGCCCAGACUGACCACCAGGAUGCCCAGCAGAGUGCCCAGAGUGACCAGCAGAGUGCCCAGGAUGCCCAGACUGACCAGCAGAGUGCCCAGCAGAGUGACCAGGAUGCCCAGAGUGCCCAGAGUGACCAGACUGACCAGCAGAGUGCCCAGAGUGCUCAGCAGAGUGACCACCAGGAUGCCCACCAGAAUGCCCAGAGUGACCAGAGUGCCCAGAGUGCCUGGAGUGACCACCAGGAUGACCACCAGAGUGCCCAGACUGACCACCAGGAUGCUCAGCAGAG